UGCCAGCAGCUGCGGUAAUACGGAGGGUGCAAGCGUUAAUCGGAAUUACUGGGCGUAAAGCGUGUGUAGGCGGUCUGCUAAGUCGGACGUGAAAGCCCCGGGCUUAACCUGGGAAUUGCAUUCGAUACUGGUAGACUUGAAUUUGGUAGAGGAAAGUGGAAUUCCGGGUGUAGCGGUGAAAUGCGUAGAUAUGUGGAGGAACACCUGUGGCGAAGGCGGCUGCCUGGCCCAAUACUGACGCUGAGGUGCGAAAGCGUGGGGAGCGAACAGGAUUAGAUA
This 279-nucleotide ribosomal RNA is filed under the name uncultured bacterium. Its description in RNAcentral is "partial 16S ribosomal RNA". It matches the Rfam family "Bacterial small subunit ribosomal RNA", at positions 506 to 784 of the family's 1533-position model. The record is from RNAcentral.